Molecule: long non-coding RNA, 770 nt
Organism: Oenanthe melanoleuca
Lineage: Eukaryota; Metazoa; Chordata; Aves; Passeriformes; Muscicapidae
Exons: 2
Source: RefSeq, a predicted model, not a curated record
GCAGCCCCAGAACACCCAUUAGAGCUGGGGGACAGAAACCAGGAAACCUCCUGGAAAUGAGAGCAGCAAGGGGAAAAGCCACCCAGGAGCUCAGGCACUGCAGGAUCCCACAGUGUCCUUUCACAAAGGGCAACAAAGAUGCUCCAAGGGCUGGAGCCUCUCUGCUCUGAGCCAGGCUGGGAGAGCAGGAGGAGAGAAGGAUCCAGGGAGAGCUCAGAGCCCCUUGCAGAGCCUGAAGGGGCUCCAGGAGAGCUGGAGAGGGACUGGGGACAAGGGAUGGAGGGACAGGACACAGGGAAUGGCUUCCACUGCCAGAGGAUGGGAUAUUGGGAAGGAAUUGUUCCCUGUGAGGGUGGGGAGGCCCUGGCACAGGGUGCCCAGAGAAGCUGUGGCUGCUCCUGGAUCCCUGGAAAUGCUCAAAGCCAGGCUGGACAGAGCUUGGAGCAGCCUGGGGUAGUUGAAGAUGUCCCUGGUGUUCUGGGGCAUCAGCAGCCACAAAUGAGUAGCUGUGGUGUGUGCUGAGAGGUGGCAGCCCCAUCCUGUAUUUUAUCUGGGUUGUCUUAUGGCCAGAAACACAGGUCCAGCUCACAAGAGUCUCCAGCUGUCCUUACCCUCGUGUGCCCCCUGAUCUCCAGCAGUCUGAGGUGUCAAGGUACAAUUUAUUUGUUUGGUGGAUGUGCUAAGCACCUGACUUUUCUCUGCAGGACCCCCAGCUCCUAAAUCUGACACCUCACUGACCACUCAGACAAGAGCCCUGGACAUCUGAGACA